GCCCCCGUAGUUCAAUGGAUAGAACGAGCCUCUCCUAAAGGCUAGAUGCAGGUUCGAUUCCUGCCGGGGGCA
Molecule: transfer RNA, 72 nt
Filed under: Haloferula luteola
Lineage: Bacteria; Pseudomonadati; Verrucomicrobiota; Verrucomicrobiia; Verrucomicrobiales; Verrucomicrobiaceae
Also listed under: 1 other name
Description: Verrucomicrobia bacterium YC6886 tRNA
Rfam family: tRNA
About the family: Transfer RNA (tRNA) molecules are approximately 80 nucleotides in length. Their secondary structure includes four short double-helical elements and three loops (D, anti-codon, and T loops).
Source: Rfam by way of RNAcentral